RNAcentral lists this non-coding RNA (47 nucleotides) under Hydrogenophaga sp. H7. RNAcentral's name for it is "Guanidine-II riboswitch aptamer (mini-ykkC)". It matches the Rfam family "Guanidine-II riboswitch aptamer (mini-ykkC)". Rfam says of the family: Simpler in structure and has fewer highly conserved nucleotide positions than the ykkC-yxkD leader. Despite this each of its two stem-loop structures directly bind free guanidine. The record is from Rfam by way of RNAcentral. Lineage: Bacteria; Pseudomonadati; Pseudomonadota; Betaproteobacteria; Burkholderiales; Comamonadaceae. RNAcentral also lists the same sequence under 1 other name.
UGGCGAGGACGACCUCGUCGGCGUUUCUCUCCCACGGGACGACCCGC